GCAGUGCUAAGCAAAUUAAAAGACUGCAAUUGGUCCCUGUAAAGUAGAGGAAGCGACAGGAAGUGACAUGGGGAAAGGAUUAUAAAAGCCCUGAACUUCCUGUCCAAAGACACUUUCUCCUUCAGACUUCUCCUUGGAGGAGUUCUGGCUUGGUACCUUGGCUUGAACUGGAAUUCUGACUCUUGGACUCCUGGUAAGACUGCUCUUGGAUCUUCUCCUGAAAAUAAAUUCCUGAAUCAUGGCUGCAAUCUAGACGCCACACGCUUCCUCUCCCCAGCACUGAAAGAAAUAGAC
This 294-nucleotide long non-coding RNA is filed under the name Monodelphis domestica (gray short-tailed opossum). RNAcentral's name for it is "lncRNA (ENSMODG00000039589.1)". Lineage: Eukaryota; Metazoa; Chordata; Mammalia; Didelphimorphia; Didelphidae. The record is from RNAcentral.